RNAcentral lists this ribosomal RNA (229 nucleotides) under uncultured bacterium. RNAcentral describes it as "partial 16S ribosomal RNA". It matches the Rfam family "Bacterial small subunit ribosomal RNA", at positions 568 to 796 of the family's 1533-position model. The record is from RNAcentral.
UGCGCAGGCGGCCUGAUAAGUCAGGGGUGAAAUAUGACGGCUCAACCGUCAAACUGCCCCUGAAACUGCCAGGCUUGAGUCCGGGAGAGGUAGGUGGAAUUCCAGGUGUAGCGGUGAAAUGCGUAAAUAUCUGGAGGAACACCGGUGGCGAAGGCGGCCUACUGGCCCGGAACUGACGCUCAGGCACGAAAGCUAGGGGAGCGAACAGGAUUAGAUACCCUGGUAGUCC